ACGGUGGGCCGAGAUGACAACCUAAUCGCCGUCUACACCAUGCCCAGCGCAGAGGACUCGGACGCCACCAAGAUGCCAGCAAAUAAGGCUCCGAGAGCCAUAAAGGAUAUUGAAAUCCACUCAACUCAACCUCGCUCAAGCAAUGACGUCACUACUACACAAACGAAUGCAAAGAUGGCUCACUCAUGUGCCGCCAUUCUUGCCAUAUGAGCUGCCGCAGCCAUUUUCAAAUGCUACCACCACUUCAACAACAACAACAACAACAGUCGCUCAUAGCCAACAAAACUGGCAGUCGCCAUUAAAAAGACGCUGCAAUGACUGACGAAAAUGACGACGCCACUAAGUUUAUAUUGAAAACAACUAAGUUUAAAACAGCCAACUAAUAGUACAGUCACUAAGCUAAUAUAGUGCCACUGCUGGACAAGCUUAACAAGUAUCCAGCAGUGAAAAGAUUUAGCACUAAAGCUACUGGUGGUGCUGGGAAAGGACUUAGAAUUCUAUGCCAUGACAUAGACACAUAUAAUGCAGUACUGGGAGUACUGCAUCGAGAAAAGCUGCAACUGCGCACUCACCAGCCACGCCAGUUGAAAGGGUAUCGAGUGGUGCUAAAACACUUGCAUGAAGCACAGAUUUAUAUCGAAGCCACUUAAUCUGCUUGAGAUCGAGCUUCAGCCAAAGCCAGAUGGCAGCCAUGAGGCUGUUCUCGAUCUCAAGCAGAUAGCAAUGCAAGCAGUCAGUGUGGAGCGUAUGGCCAAGCCCAUCGAUCCGGCCCAGUGCCAUCGAUGCCAGUCUGUAGGCGGCCAUUUAGAUGCAUGAAGUGUGCCGGCGAGCACGCUUCAACCGAGUGCCCAAAAGGCGGAGACGAGGCGGCAACUUGCGUGAAUUGUGGCGGCGCACACGUUAGCUGCUUUAAAGGCCGGACAGCGUGUCAAACUGCUUGGCGCAGCAAAUUCAACAAACACAACAAACAAAUACGCAACAGGCUGUGAACAGAAAGCUCACCUACAGCAGCGUCGCGCGUAGAAAAACAGCCGCCACAGGCAAAAACAACACAAAUGACAAUAACAACGAGUAAGAAAGCUCUAGUCGAGACUGCCCGGCUACGAGAGCGCCUGAUCCCAUGGAGCAACUGAUAUUUCUAUCAUUUUUACAUACUUAGCUUCUUUUCGGCAUACACAAAAAACAGCACAUGCACACACACACAGUGUGGACUUAAUAUGGGGACUUAAGUGCUGACAUUUCCAUCAAAUCAAAUUAAUUUCAACAAAUUGAUUAAAGCAUGCAAUUUGCCCAGUAAUUUCAAUCAGAUUUCAAUCAUUUUGAACGAAAAAAUAUUGGUAAGCGAAAAUUAAAAGCCAACACAGUCCCAACCAUACAUUUGGGUGACCCAAACUUCUUUUCAAAUAUUUCAGCUUUCAAAAUCAGAGGAAGAAGUAAUAGAGAAUUUCUUGAGCUUCGACAACGAUUUAAGAAAUGAAUUGUGGCACGAUUUAGCCGCUAAUAGGAGUUCCCUUUGUUUAAAUUGUAUAAAGAGGGAACCAAAUGAGGUAGUUUAUAGGAAAAAAGUUAUGAUAUUGGAAUAGAUCUGAAAAAAAAAAUGGCAGGAAAGUUCUAUUAAGUUGAAAAAAGGUUUAUUCCUUUCAAGCGGGCUUUUCAUUUAGAGUUAGGAAUAUCAAGAGACCAGCUUAUUGUCUUCACGACAAUUAAUAAUUUAUCCCAUGUUUCCGAACAGUCGAAAGUUUUAUGUAAAAUGUUUUUUAAAAAAUAAUCAUUUAUAUUAUAACAAAACAUAAAUUUUUACUCUGCAGCGCGCUUUAAUAUACGUAGCUUACAAAA
This is a long non-coding RNA of Drosophila mojavensis, 1836 nucleotides long. RefSeq lists it as uncharacterized. NCBI's taxonomy places the organism in Eukaryota, Metazoa, Arthropoda, Insecta, Diptera, Drosophilidae. The record is from RefSeq and is a predicted model, not a curated record. The transcript has 2 exons.